This 358-nucleotide transfer-messenger RNA is filed under the name Campylobacter jejuni. It matches the Rfam family "transfer-messenger RNA". From Rfam's summary of the family: Bacterial tmRNA, also known as 10Sa RNA or SsrA, is named for its dual tRNA and mRNA-like properties. Its role is to liberate the mRNA from a stalled ribosome. Lineage: Bacteria; Pseudomonadati; Campylobacterota; Epsilonproteobacteria; Campylobacterales; Campylobacteraceae. The record is from RNAcentral.
GGGAGCGACUUGGCUUCGACAGGAGUAAGUCUGCUUAGAUGGCAUGUCGCUUUGGGCAAAGCGUAAAAAGCCCAAAUAAAAUUAAACGCAAACAACGUUAAAUUCGCUCCUGCUUACGCUAAAGCUGCGUAAGUUCAGUUGAGCCUGAAAUUUAAGUCAUACUAUCUAGCUUAAUUUUCGGUCACUUUUGAUAGUGUAGCCUUGCGUUUGACAAGCGUUGAGGUGAAUAAAGUCUUAGCCUUGCUUUUGAGUUUUGGAAGAUGAGCGAAGUAGGGUGAAGUAGUCAUCUUUGCUAAGCAUGUAGAGGUCUUUGUGGGAUUAUUUUUGGACAGGGGUUCGAUUCCCCUCGCUUCCACCA